RNAcentral lists this ribosomal RNA (254 nucleotides) under uncultured Singulisphaera sp. RNAcentral's name for it is "partial 16S ribosomal RNA". It matches the Rfam family "Bacterial small subunit ribosomal RNA", at positions 524 to 776 of the family's 1533-position model. Lineage: Bacteria; Pseudomonadati; Planctomycetota; Planctomycetia; Isosphaerales; Isosphaeraceae. The record is from RNAcentral.
GACGAACCGUGCGAACGUUAUUCGGAAUCACUGGGCUUAAAGCGCGUGUAGGCGGCCCGGCACGUCGAGCGUUGAAAGCCCCCGGCUCAACCGGGGAAGCGGCCUCGAUACGACCGGGCUGGAGGGGGGUAGGGGGAGCCGGAACUUCCGGUGGAGCGGUGAAAUGCGUUGAGAUCGGAAGGAACGCCCGCGGCGAAAGCGGGCUCCUGGACCCCGCCUGACGCUGAGACGCGAAAGCCAGGGGAGCGAACGGG